AGACACUUAGUUCAAAGUAAGAAUAUUUGAUUUCGACUCAAAAGCCUGUGGUUAAACCCCACAAUUGUCUU
This 71-nucleotide transfer RNA is filed under the name Apogonichthyoides taeniatus (twobelt cardinal). Its description in RNAcentral is "tRNA-Arg". It matches the Rfam family "tRNA". From Rfam's summary of the family: Transfer RNA (tRNA) molecules are approximately 80 nucleotides in length. Their secondary structure includes four short double-helical elements and three loops (D, anti-codon, and T loops). Further hydrogen bonds mediate the characteristic L-shaped molecular structure. tRNAs have two regions of fundamental functional importance: the anti-codon, which is responsible for specific mRNA codon recognition, and the 3' end, to which the tRNAs corresponding amino acid is attached (by aminoacyl-tRNA synthetases). tRNAs cope with the degeneracy of the genetic code in two manners: having more than one tRNA (with a specific anti-codon) for a particular amino acid; and 'wobble' base-pairing, i.e. permitting non-standard base-pairing at the 3rd anti-codon position. The record is from RNAcentral. Lineage: Eukaryota; Metazoa; Chordata; Actinopteri; Kurtiformes; Apogonidae.